CCUACGGGAGGCAGCAGUGAGGAAUAUUGGUCAAUGGGCGCGAGCCUGAACCAACCAAGUAGCGUGAAGGAUGACUGCCCUACGGGUUGUACACUUCUUUUAUAAAGGAAUAAAGUGAGGCACGUGUGCCUUUUUGUAUGUACUUUAUUGAUAAGGAUCAGCUAACUCCGUGCCAGCAGCCGCGGUAAUACGGAGGAUCCGAGCGUUGUCCGGAUUUAUUGGGUUUAAAGGGAGCGUAGAUGGGUUGUUAAGUCAGUUGUGAAAGUUUGCGGCUCAACCGUAAAAUUGCAAUUGAUACUGGCAGCCUUGAGUACAGUUGAGGUAGGCGGAAUUCGUGGUGUAGCGGUGAAAUGCUGAGAUAUCACGAAGAACUCCGAUUGCGAAGGCAGCUUACUAAACUGCCACUGACAUUGAUGCUCGAAAGUGUGGGUAUCAAACAGGAUUAGAUACCCCGGUAGUC
This 460-nucleotide ribosomal RNA is filed under the name uncultured bacterium. Its description in RNAcentral is "partial 16S ribosomal RNA". It matches the Rfam family "Bacterial small subunit ribosomal RNA", at positions 338 to 795 of the family's 1533-position model. The record is from RNAcentral.